AGAGUAUGGGAGGGGGAGAUGGAAUUAGUGGUGUAGGGGUAAAAUCCGUAGAUAUCACUAGGAAUACCGAAAGCGAAGGCGAUCUCCUGGAACAUAACUGACGCUAAGGCGUGAAAGCGUGGGGAGCAAACAGGAUUAGAUACCCUGGUAGUCCACGCCCUAAACGAUGAACACUAGUCGUCGGGAUGCUAGUCAUCUCGGUGAUGCACUUAACAGAUUAAGUGUUCCGCCUGGGGAGUACGGUCGCAAGAUUAAAACUCAAAGGAAUAGACGGGGACCCGCACAAGUGGUGGAGCAUGUGGUUUAAUUCGAAGAUACGCGAAGAACCUUACCUAGCCUUGACAUUGAUUGAACACACUAGAGAUAGAGUGGUGCCCUUCGGGGAACAUGAAAACAGGUGCUGCACGGCUGUCGUCAGCUCGUGUCGUGAGAUGUUGGGUUAAGUCCCGCAACGAGCGCAACCCUCGUCCUUAGUUGCUAGCAGUUCGGCUGAGCACUCUAAGGAGACUGCCUUCGUAAGGAGGAGGAAGGUGAGGACGACGUCAAGUCAUCAUGGCCCUUAUGGCUAGGGCUACACACGUGCUACAAUGGGGCGUACAGAGUGUUGCGAUACCGCGAGGUGGAGCUAAUCACUUAAAGCGUCUCUCAGUUCGGAUUGGAGUCUGCAACUCGACUCCAUGAAGCUGGAAUCACUAGUAAUCGUAGAUCAGCAAUGCUACGGUGAAUACGU
RNAcentral lists this ribosomal RNA (730 nucleotides) under uncultured bacterium. RNAcentral describes it as "bacterial SSU rRNA". It matches the Rfam family "Bacterial small subunit ribosomal RNA", at positions 643 to 1371 of the family's 1533-position model. The record is from RNAcentral.